RNAcentral lists this ribosomal RNA (499 nucleotides) under uncultured bacterium. RNAcentral's name for it is "partial 16S ribosomal RNA". It matches the Rfam family "Bacterial small subunit ribosomal RNA", at positions 28 to 507 of the family's 1533-position model. The record is from RNAcentral.
GACGAACGCUGGCGGCGUGCCUAAUACAUGCAAGUCGAGCGAAGUUUUUCUGGUGCUUGCACCGGAAAAACUUAGCGGCGCACGGGUGAGUAACACGUAAAGAACCUGCCUCAUAGACUGGGACAACUAUUGGAAACGAUAGCUAAUACCGGAUAACAGCAUUAACUGCAUGGUUGAUGUUUAAAAGUUGGUUUUGCUAACACUAUGAGAUGGCUUUGCGGUGCAUUAGCUAGUUGGUGGGGUAAAGGCCUACCAAGGCGACGAUGCAUAGCCGACCUGAGAGGGUGAUCGGCCACACUGGGACUGAGACACGGCCCAGACUCCUACGGGAGGCAGCAGUAGGGAAUCUUCCGCAAUGGGCGAAAGCCUGACGGAGCAACGCCGCGUGAGUGAAGAAGGAUUUCGGUUCGUAAAGCUCUGUUGUUAGGGAAGAAUGAUUGUGUAGUAACUAUACACAGUAGAGACGGUACCUAACCAGAAAGCCACGGCUAACUACGUG